CAGCAGCCGCGGUAAUACGAAGGGGGCUAGCGUUGUUCGGAAUUACUGGGCGUAAAGCGUGCGUAGGCGGCUUCUUAAGUCGGAUGUGAAAUCCCUGAGCUUAACUUAGGAAUUGCAUUCGAUACUGGGAAGCUAGAGUAUGGGAGAGGAUGGUAGAAUUCCAGGUGUAGCGGUGAAAUGCGUAGAGAUCUGGAGGAAUACCGAUGGCGAAGGCAGCCAUCUGGCCUAAUACUGACGCUGAGGUACGAAAGCAUGGGGAGCAAACAGGAUUAGAUACCCGCGUAGUCCCUGUCUCUUAUAC
RNAcentral lists this ribosomal RNA (301 nucleotides) under uncultured bacterium. Its description in RNAcentral is "partial 16S ribosomal RNA". It matches the Rfam family "Bacterial small subunit ribosomal RNA", at positions 509 to 807 of the family's 1533-position model. The record is from RNAcentral.